RNAcentral lists this long non-coding RNA (378 nucleotides) under Equus caballus (horse). RNAcentral's name for it is "lncRNA (ENSECAG00000048703.1)". The record is from RNAcentral. Lineage: Eukaryota; Metazoa; Chordata; Mammalia; Perissodactyla; Equidae.
UGGAGAUUUGGGGAGAGUGGCAAGCUUGGUGAAAGCAUGGGAGCUCUGUGCCCUUUUCCCACACCUUGCCCUAUGCAUCUCUUCCAUCUGGCUGUUCCUGAAUUUGUAAAAUCAAAACUCGUUGAUGAAGUCCUAAUGGAGGCCACAGUUAAGAAGCUAUUUUUAGGUGUACAGUUCAGUGGCAUGAAGUUACGUUCAAGUUGUGGAAUCAUCACCACCAUCCAUCUUCAGAACUUUUUCAUCUUCCCAAACUGAAACUUUAUAACUGUUAAACAAGAACUCCUAUUCUCUCCCAGCCCUGGCAGUCAUUCUCUUUUCUGUCUCUCAUGUAUUUGAUUACUCUAGGUACCUCGUAUAAUUGGAAUCAUUCAACAUUUU